Molecule: non-coding RNA, 25 nt
Filed under: Rattus norvegicus (Norway rat)
Lineage: Eukaryota; Metazoa; Chordata; Mammalia; Rodentia; Muridae
Source: RNAcentral
UAGAUCUUUUGGUUGUUGCAGAGUC